Non-coding RNA from Triticum urartu, 3622 nucleotides. The record is from RefSeq and is a predicted model, not a curated record. Lineage: Eukaryota; Viridiplantae; Streptophyta; Magnoliopsida; Poales; Poaceae.
UAGCUUUCCGUUUGGUGGGCUCGGGCAUGAGAAUGCGUGGUCUAGUGCUUUCUUCCCCAUAGCGGUGCUCUUAUUUGGAAGCUAGCUGCUGGAGAAUCGGGAGGAGGAGCACCAGCGGCGACCAUUCAUGGAGUUCCUGAUGCAGCCUAUGCAUGGAUCCACUUUCCUGUAGGAGGUGGGAGAAAGCUUGGUACCGCCGCUAGUGGCGGCGGUGGCGCCUGUGCUGCUAGAGGCGGAUGUGGUACAUGCGACGUUGCAGCAGCUAGUGGUGGAGCAGGGCGUUCUGGGGUAUGUGCGCUCGGCCGUCAGUGGCGAUGCCCAGAUUGUGUCAGCCAAGCCAUCGGCGGCAGUCAGGAUGGAUAGCUCGCCACCGUCGUCGGAGCUGUCUACUGGGAAGAUGAAUCCUCGGGUGCCUGGAUGGAAUAAGAGGUUGAGGAUUGGAGCUGCUGUACCAACAGGCCUCCUUGUCCAAACCGGAUCGGUGCAUUCGAGAAGGCUGUGCGGAGUUUUGCUGAGAACCCGACUGACAAUGUUAUCACACCAGUUAUCGGCACAACAUUCGACUCGAUGGGUGAGGCGUAUGACUUCUACAAUUUGUACUCGUGGGAGAAGGGAUUUGGCAUUCGUUACAGGAAGAGCAGGCUAAAUGUGGAGAGGACCAAAAGCAUGCAGGAAAUAGUUUGUGGUUGCUCGGGCAAAGCUGGUGUGGAGAACACCAGGUCUUGUCGUUGCGAGUGCCCCGCUCUAAUAAGGUUGCUACGAGCGGAGGAAAACGGAUGGUACAUUGCAGAGCAUAGAGAUAGUCACAACCACUCGUUGUUGCCUAAUUUUGGUGAGACAAUCCAUUGGCCCUCACACAAGCACAUAGAUGUGUACACCAGGGAUCUAGUGAAACAGUUAAGGCAGAACAAUGUGAACUUAGCAAAGGUGUACAACAUCAUUGGAGGCUUCUUUGGAUCAAUGGAAAAUGUUUCGUUCACUAAGAGGUCGUUGUGUAACCUGUGUGGGAAGAUAAUCAGGGACCAUGCAGAAGAUAAUGUGAAGAAGACAAUGGAUGUUUUUGCAGAGAUAGGGGCUAAAGAUCCACACUUCACAUAUAGGGUUGAGUCUGACAAUGAGGGCAGGAUUAAGAAUCUGAUGUGGGCAAAUGGGAGCAGCAGGCUUCAGUACUCAUUUUUUGGAGAUGUCAUAGCAUUUGACACGACUUAUCGGACUAAUCUGUACGACAUGCCUUUUGGCCUAUUUGUAGGGGUAAAUAAUCAUUUUCGGAGUGUGAUCCUGGCAGGUGUGCUCGUGCGUGAUGAAACUGAAGAUAGUUUUGAGUGGGUUUUCUCAGGAUUCCUUAGAAUGAUGGGCGGGUCUCCACCGGUGACCAUACUAACAAACCAGAACCGGGCUAUGGAGCUGGCUAUCAAGAAAGUUAUGCCGGAUGCAACACACCGGUGGUGCAAGUGCAUGUGCUGAAGAAAGCAAAAGAGUCAUUGGGUAGUCUGUACACGAAGAAAAGUGAUUUCAGAUCUGAAUUUCAUAAGGUCAUAAAUCACAUCUUGACAGAAGAUGAAUUCGAGCAAGCUUGGGAGAUGUUGCUGGACAAAUACAAGCUUAGGGCACAUUCGUACAUGACAAACCUGUUUGAAAUCCGUAAGAAAUGAGCAAAGCCUUAAUUUAAGGGAGUUUUUUGUGUAAAAAUGACCAGCACACAAAGGAGUGAGAGUGCGAACCAUAUGCUUAAAGAUUAUGUGCCUCCUGGUUGAACAAUGCACAUGUUUGUUCAGAAAUACAUGAGGCUCUAGUUUGACCGGAAAUCGGAGAACUACGAAGAGAAAUGAACAUGAAUUGUCAGAAUUUCUUGUUGGGAGUGUCGUAUGUAGUUGAAGUCAUUGUGACAAACAUAUGAAUAGAGAAAUAAACAUUUACGAUUCUUGUGUACUAUUUGUGCAGGGGAGGCCGCUCAUGAGGGCAAACCUUGAAGUGGAAAGGCAUGCUAGCAAGAUAUAUACAAGAGCCAUGUUUGAACAGUUUAGGCAUAUAUUAUAUGAAUGUGGCGCUUAUCAAGUUGAAGAGAUUGAGAGACACAAGACAUAUGUCGCAAUCCACAGCGAGGCAGAGAAGAGAAAGAAAUGGUGCAGAGUGGCAUACAAGGUUAGUAUGCUAGAUGGGGGUGAUGAACUCGACUGCGAGGGUGGACAAUUUGCACAUGUGGGCUUGCUUUGCAGCCAUGUGCUGAAGGUUAGUGGACGGGCAUUUCUCCUGUGUUCUUUUACGCAGAGAUCAUGGUGAAUUAGACUGCAAGUAUUCAUGGUGAAUUAGAACCGUUCUCCAGCUCGGGAAACAAAGGUCACCACCUUGGCAGUGCAUACUGGGCAAGGGAUCAGCGGGAGCACCUGGCCGGCCUGGGAGGAAGAAGAUGAGCUUGCCAUUUGCCAUCUUCUCUGAUCUGAUUCUUACAAAGCGAGGAAGAAGAGGAUAAGGCAACGGGGGAGCAGCCCGUGGAGUCUUGUAGUGGAAGGAGCUAGGUGCGGGUCCGGCUGGACAACGGCCGUUCGGUAUCAAACGUCUGAGCCGUGGACCAAGAUUCGGUAUCAAACGUCUGAGCCGGCCCUGAAGGCGUCACGGCCGUUGCAUUGACAGCGACAGCUGGGUGGGCCACGACGUGGUAAAAAGCAGCGCAUACAUGUCCAUAUACGGACUGAAAUACCUGCAGCGGUAGGAAUCUCAGCAAAAGCUGACGGCUAUGAUAUCGAGUCCAUCUGAGCUCGAGCUCAGAAUAGGACUUUCGAACCCUAUGCCUCUUCUUCCCCCCAUCUCUUUCUCCCACCGCCGCCGCCCCAACAUCUUCUCCCUUCUCUCUGAUCCUCUCCUUUUCGCUGCCCCCCCCCCCCCACCGCUCUGGUUCUCCUUCCUCCACCCAACCCCACCUCCACGGAUGCGGACUUUUUCUACCCCAUCCUCUCCCGUCCUCAAUACCAUGGCCUCGGGCUGCUGCUAUAGAUCCGGCGCACGCAGAUCUGGGACGAAGUUGAACCCCGACACAGGUCUUGUCAGACCGGAGCUACCGUCGGGUGGCCGGUUACCACAAUUGCUCGGUGGAGGCCGCACCUAGUCGCGACUGGGUGCGUUGUGUGUGCGUGAUGACAUGGCGGCAGCAGCAGCAAUCGGUGGCUCCGGCGUGUCUACUAGUGAGAUGGUACCAAGUAGAUAUAUCCGCACAUGUUCGUCAACCGGCUGCAGAUGCGACCUUCUAUCAAUAUCUAUUUUAGAUGCAGGUCUUGGUGGCACUGCUGCAUGACGCAAAAUAGAGCUUGAGAGGGCUUGUUGCCAUGAUGGCCGUGAUGGAGCUGCUCCGUGAUCAACCAGGGGUAUCAUUGGGUAGUGGUCUACAAAGUGCUACCCAUCAUAAUCUGCGCCAGGACAUGAUAGUUGCCAUCAGGACAGUCGACGAAGAACCUCAACAGCAGCUUCAAAAGUUUAUAUGUUUUGUUGAUGUAAACUGGAUUGUACUGCUUCUUAACCUUGUUGUGUGAUAUAUUUAGUGUUGUAAAUUAUCAUUACAUGGAAGGAUUUGUAAACUGCUAUGUUGUAUAUACACACAGGAUUUUUUUGAGAAAAAUAUUUACAUACA